GCGACGCCGCGUGAGGGAUGAAGGUCUUCGGAUUGUAAACCUCUUUCAGUAGGGAAGAAGCGAAAGUGACGGUACCUAAAGAAGAAGCACCGGCUAACUAUGUGCCAGCAGCCGCGGUAAUACAUAGGGUGCAAGCGUUGUCCGGAAUUAUUGGGCGUAAAGAGCUCGUAGGUCGUUUGUCGCGUCGAUUGUGAAAAUCUGAGGCUCAACCUCAGACCUGCAGUCGAUACGGGCAAACUAGAGUGUGGUAGGGGAGACUGGAAUUCCUGGUGUAGCGGUGGAAUGCGCAGAUAUCAGGAGGAACACCAAUGGCGAAGGCAGGUCUCUGGGCCAUAACUGACACUGAGGAGCGAAAGUGCGGGGAGCGAACAGGAUUAGAUACCCUGGUAGUCCGCACCGUAAACGGUGGGCACUAGUUGUGGGAACCUUCCACGGUUUCCGCGACGCAGCAAACGCAUUAAGUGCCCCGCCUGGGGAGUACGAUCGCAAGAUUA
This 494-nucleotide ribosomal RNA is filed under the name uncultured Actinomycetes bacterium. RNAcentral describes it as "bacterial SSU rRNA". It matches the Rfam family "Bacterial small subunit ribosomal RNA", at positions 391 to 896 of the family's 1533-position model. Lineage: Bacteria; Bacillati; Actinomycetota; Actinomycetes. The record is from RNAcentral.